AUGAGUGAAGUUCCUUCUCGACUAUAAUUACUGCUUUCACUUUCUUCACAGGGGCUGAACUGCACAGUGAAGAACAGUACCUUCCUAGAUGACAGCUGGAUCCACCCUCAGAACUUGACCCCCUCAUCCCCAAAAGAUGCUUGGAUCCAGCUGCACUUGGCCUACACCCAGUCUGGAGAGCUUGUCCCUGUGGCGCUUGUGGAAUGGUUGUUACAGACAGACGCCAGCAUCUUAUACCUUGAGGGUGCGGAGGUUUCCAUCCUGCAGCUGAACACUAAUGAGCGACUAUGUGUCAACUUCUAAAGUUUCUCUAAA
Molecule: long non-coding RNA, 315 nt
Organism: Ochotona princeps (American pika)
Lineage: Eukaryota; Metazoa; Chordata; Mammalia; Lagomorpha; Ochotonidae
Exons: 3
Source: RefSeq, a predicted model, not a curated record